UACGGAGGGUGCAAGCGUUAAUCGGAAUUACUGGGCGUAAAGCGUGCGCAGGCGGUUUUGUAAGACAGAGGUGAAAUCCCCGGGGCUCAACCUGGGAACUGCCUUUGUGACUGCAAGGCUAGAGUACGGCAGAGGGGGGUGGAAUUCCGCGUGUAGCAGUGAAAUGCGUAGAUAUGCGGAGGAACACCGAUGGCGAAGGCAACCCCCUGGGCCUGUACUGACGCUCAUGCACGAAAGCGUGGGGAGCAAACAGG
RNAcentral lists this ribosomal RNA (254 nucleotides) under uncultured Comamonadaceae bacterium. RNAcentral describes it as "partial 16S ribosomal RNA". It matches the Rfam family "Bacterial small subunit ribosomal RNA", at positions 524 to 776 of the family's 1533-position model. Lineage: Bacteria; Pseudomonadati; Pseudomonadota; Betaproteobacteria; Burkholderiales; Comamonadaceae. The record is from RNAcentral.